This 543-nucleotide ribosomal RNA is filed under the name Triticum aestivum (bread wheat). Its description in RNAcentral is "partial small subunit ribosomal RNA". Lineage: Eukaryota; Viridiplantae; Streptophyta; Magnoliopsida; Poales; Poaceae. The record is from RNAcentral.
AUGAUUGCUUGUAUCCCGCCUUAUUCGAUUUUUUUGAAACUUGGACUUGAUUUUGGCCGUGUGCAUCUCAGCUAUGCAGAUGCCAGCUGCUUUUUGCAUCUUCUGGGGAAAAGAUGCACCAUUUUUCAGUCAGUUACAAGGCCAGCUGACAGCUUAGCUUGCCCACAGACCCUACCUAACGAACAGCGACACCAACAAUUGCGAGAAGAGAAUGAAUUCGGUGACGACGACCGCGGGGGAGUGGAUGCCCAGGAAGGGCACAAUGUCAACCUGCAGCCAGCUCUCCACGCCGGACCCGACCGUCGCACCGACUGCCAGCCCCCCGACGGUGAUCAAUGCGGCCUUACCUGCAUGAACAAGGACCACAGAGGCAUUCAUUUCGUUCCAAAUCGAAGCAGGAAGGUUGGCACAAGAGUAGCAGUAAUCAAGGUACAGGACAUUGGGCAAGGUUUCCUCCCACAAUUAAGCAGUGCCAUAACAAACACAAAAGCUGGUUGGAGGUUUGUGGACUUGUGUCAGCCAGAUAGAUCCAUACGUGUUUAA